GACGAACGCUGGCGGCGUGCCUAAUACAUGCAAGUCGAACGAGAGCGACCGGUGCUUGCACUGGUCAAUCUAGUGGCGAACGGGUGAGUAACACGUGGGUAACCUGCCCAUCAGAGGGGGAUAACAUCCGGAAACGGAUGCUAAAACCGCAUAGGUCUUCGAACCGCAUGGUUUGAAGAGGAAAAGAGGCGCAAGCUUCUGCUGAUGGAUGGACCCGCGGUGCAUUAGCUAGUUGGUGAGGUAACGGCUCACCAAGGCCGUGAUGCAUAGCCGACCUGAGAGGGUGAUCGGCCACAUUGGGACUGAUACACGGCCCAAACUCCUACGGGAGGCAGCAGUAGGGAAUCUUCCGCAAUGGACGCAAGUCUGACGGAGCAACGCCGCGUGAGUGAAGAAGGUUUUCGGAUCGUAAAACUCUGUUGUUAGAGAAGAACAAGUGCUAGAGUAACUGUUAGCGCCUUGACGGUAUCUAACCAGAAAGCCACGGCUAACUACGUG
Molecule: ribosomal RNA, 498 nt
Filed under: uncultured bacterium
Lineage: Bacteria
Description: partial 16S ribosomal RNA
Rfam family: Bacterial small subunit ribosomal RNA
Source: RNAcentral